AUCCUGCUCUGAAAAGGAAGAUCUAGGUAGGAGACAGAAGCGGGAGCACCCUGAAUAGCAUGGAGGGACUAAGGGCUCCUCAGAGACAGUGGCCCCCAGUAUAAUUUAUCUGGAGCCACCAUGGUCUUAUGGUAUCCUGCCUUAUCGCCUUUGCCCUGGCUGUACCCUAUGCUGAGAAUGCCGUUCCCUCAGCUCUUCUUGGGGCUGGCUCCUCAUGGUCUAGGGGCAGCUCAUCAGAAAGGCCUUCCAAGACCAUCCCUCUAAAGCAGCAGCAUCCCUCUUCAUGGUCACUCGGAUCUUCUCCAUGGUCUUCUCUCUCUCCAUGAAAGGAUCAUCUUUGCAUUUUAAGAAAAUGUUAUUUAAAACUCAUUGUCAGAUGCAGAGGCAAAGAGGAGGAAGAGGAGUGGCCCAAUGGCAUUGGUGAUCAUGGAAGUCAACUGCACAGAAGCAACAGUCAAAGUUAUAGAAAUUGGAAUGACCACCUAAAACAAGAGGACCAGACAGUGAGAGAAGGGGUUGGAGGACAGAACCUUGAGGAUUAUCCGUCAUUUAGACAGAGGAAAGGGACUAUCAUUAUUCAGCAACUAUUAUUUGCCAGGCAUUAUGCUAAGGGAUGAAUUUUCUUGUUCAAGUCUCAAACAGCCCUGUAGGUAAGAAAGUGUAACCUUUUCAGACAUAAAACUGAAGCUCAGAAGAGUUAGGAUUGAACCCAAAUCUGCUCAAUUCUGAAACCCUUGUCAUUCCCACCACAAGAGGAGUGAGACGAAAAAGAAGUACUUCGGGGCAGUGGCAAGGAAGCUGGUAGAGGAGAGAGUGUGAGAAGGAAGCAAGCAGUGGCCAAUGGUUAGACACUUGGCAGAGCCAGAGAUGGAAGGCUCAAAUGCCCAUGGGGGCUGAGCAGGAAAGCAAGUGAGUGGAGGUGUUUACAGUAUAAAACUCAUGGGUGUAGUUUUUACUUAUAUAGAUUAAUGUACGCUUUCGUUUAAAAAAUGUACAGCUUCCUUGGUCUAGCUGUCAUUUUUCUGGGUACAAGAACCAUGUCUUGACUAUAAGGAAUACGACUGUGUAUGUGCAAUGGAUUCUCAGUGUCAGUGCUGGGGACUAGUGGGGACUGUGGCAAAUUGGAGAACUAAUCAAACACUCAGCUCCAGCCCAUGAUGCCAGCUGGAAAUGUGGACCCAGGAUUCUCACAUCUGAUUUUCCAAGAGAAGCCAAAAGGCUAGAAUUUUGCGUCAACUCAAUUUCUGAAUGCUGUCAAUGAAUUUAUUAUUAUUUUUCUAGAAUAAUGUGCAGCCCUCAAGACAUUUCUGUGAGUCAGAUGUGGGACUAUGUUUGAUCUAGAAUUCAUGAGGUUGGUGAGAAUAAUAAACAAUGAAACUAAAAUAAUGAUGAUGAUGACGAACACCACCCCCGUACAUGGUUGUAUAUUCUUCAUUGUGGGU
Molecule: long non-coding RNA, 1442 nt
Organism: Equus quagga
Lineage: Eukaryota; Metazoa; Chordata; Mammalia; Perissodactyla; Equidae
Exons: 3
Source: RefSeq, a predicted model, not a curated record